This 519-nucleotide ribosomal RNA is filed under the name uncultured bacterium. RNAcentral describes it as "bacterial SSU rRNA". It matches the Rfam family "Bacterial small subunit ribosomal RNA", at positions 391 to 902 of the family's 1533-position model. The record is from RNAcentral.
GCAAUGCCGCGUGUGUGAAGAAGGCCUGCGGGUUGUAAAGCACUUUCAGUAGAGAAGAAAAGCUUACGGUUAAUACCCGUGAGUCUUGACGUAACCUACAGAAGAAGCACCGGCUAACUCCGUGCCAGCAGCCGCGGUAAUACGGAGGGUGCGAGCGUUAAUCGGAAUUACUGGGCGUAAAGCGCGCGUAGGCGGUUUUGUAAGUCGGAUGUGAAAUCCCCGGGCUUAACCUGGGAACUGCAUUCGAUACUGCAUAACUAGAGUAUGGUAGAGGGAAGUGGAAUUUCCGGUGUAGCGGUGAAAUGCGUAGAUAUCGGAAGGAACACCAGUGGCGAAGGCGACUUCCUGGGCCAAUACUGACGCUGAGGUGCGAAAGCGUGGGGAGCAAACAGGAUUANAUACCCUGGUAGUCCACGCCGUAAACGAUGAGAACUAGAUGUUGGGNAGGGUUGCCUCUCGGUGUCGCAGCUAACGCGUUAAGUUCUCCGCCUGGGGANUACGCCGGCNACGGUAAAACUC